This is an RNA transcript of Gossypium raimondii (Peruvian cotton), 1357 nucleotides long. It is a transcript of the gene named short-chain dehydrogenase TIC 32, chloroplastic, with no coding region annotated. The transcript has 9 exons. NCBI's taxonomy places the organism in Eukaryota, Viridiplantae, Streptophyta, Magnoliopsida, Malvales, Malvaceae. The record is from RefSeq and is a predicted model, not a curated record.
GGGAUCUAAAUACUGCAAAUUUUUACACUCUUGCCAAUAGAAAACUGCUACUUUUUCUUAUAUUCAGUGAAUUCAUAGUGUAGGAUUUCUAAAUUAAACUGCAAAAGGAAACAUGUGGAUUUUUGGAUGGAAGGGACCAUCUGGGUUUUCUGCUUCUUCUACCGCAGAAGAAGUUACUCAAGGGAUUGAUGGAUCUGCUCUCACUGCCAUCGUUACAGGAGCAUCAAGUGGUAUUGGUGUAGAGACGACUCGCGUCCUCGCAUUGCGCGGUGUCCACGUAGUUAUGGCGGUAAGGAAUGCAGAUGCCGGUCAGAAUGUCAAAGAAUCAAUACUAAAAGAAAUCCCUCGUGCUAAGAUUGAUGUUAUGGACUUGGAUCUGAGCUCAAUGGCAUCAGUAAGGAAAUUUGCAUCACAAUAUCAAUCCUCUAAUCUUCCCUUGAACCUCCUAAUCAACAAUGCAGGGGUCAUGGCAAGUCCUUUCAUGUUAUCCCAAGAUAAGAUCGAGCUGCAGUUUGCGACCAACCAUUUAGGUCAUUUUCUUCUAACUGAUCUUUUGUUGGAGACUAUGAAAAGAACAGCGCGUGAAAGCGACAUAGAAGGGAGGAUUGUCAAUGUAUCUUCGGAAGGUCACCGGAUUGCAUACAGCGAGGGAAUUCGUUUCGAUAAAAUCAACGAUGAAUCAGGAUACUACACUUGGUAUGCUUACGGACAAUCAAAGCUUGCUAACAUAUUACAUGCCAAGGAGCUUGCACGGCGUCUAAAGGAAGAAGGGGUGGAGAUUACUGCAAAUUCACUUCAUCCUGGAGCAAUUAUUUCGACCAAUCUUAUGCGCCACCAUGGUUUAAUCAACACCGUUGGUCAAAUGUUGGGAAAAUACUUCCUCAAAAAUAUUCCACAGGGAGCUGCCACUACAUGCUAUGUUGCAUUAAAUCCACAAGUCAAAGGUGUUAGUGGAGAAUAUUUCUUAGACAGCAACAUAGGUAACCCGAGCGCUAAGGCGAAGGAUGCAGAUUUGGCAAAAAAACUAUGGGACUUCAGCUGCACCUUGACCAACCCCAAGUAGUUAGUUGGUUCACAAAGCCUUAUCGAGACGAGCUGAAGAUGUUCGAUGCUUAGUGCUGGAGUAUUUGAAGUGCCUGUUCGUCGGAACAUGAUGAAGCCAAGAGCAAGCAGUGUGGACACCCCAACAUUAUUGAUACUCAAAUUCCCAGUAACGAACAUUCAACAGAAAAAUUAUAUUAUCAACAGCGCAUAUAAGACCUGGUACAAAAGAGAGAUAUAUGUAAGAGUUCUAGAUUCAAGGUAUAUUACUUAAAAAUUAGCUAUUAUGGCAAGAAUACUAAGAAGUUUCUUACUA